RNAcentral lists this ribosomal RNA (1911 nucleotides) under Pseudomyrmex gracilis. Its description in RNAcentral is "SSU rRNA". It matches the Rfam family "Eukaryotic small subunit ribosomal RNA". Lineage: Eukaryota; Metazoa; Arthropoda; Insecta; Hymenoptera; Formicidae. The record is from RNAcentral.
CCUGGUUGAUCCUGCCAGUAGUUAUAUGCUUGUCUCAAAUAUUAAGCCAUUCAUGUCUCAGUGCAUGCCGAAUUAAGGUGAAACCGCGAAUGGCUCAUUAAAUCAGUUAUGGUUCAUUAGAUUGUACCCACAUUUACUUGGUAACUGUGGUAAUUCUAGAGCUAAUACAUGCAAAACAGAGUCCCGACCAGUGAUGGGAGGGACGCUUUUAUUAGGUCAAAACAAUUCGGUGGCGGACGGUCUCUUGCCGCUUGUCUACCGUUCAUUUUGGUAACUUUGAAUAACUUUGAGCUGAUCGCACGGUCCUAGCACCGGCAACGCAUUUUUCAAAUGUCUGCCUUAUCAACUGUCAAUGGUAGGUUCUGCGCCUACCAUGGUUGUAACGGAUAACGAGGAAUCAGGGUUCGAUUCCGGAGAGGGAGCCUGAGAAACGGCUACCACAUCCAAGGAAGGCAGCAGGCGAGCAAAUUACUCACUCCCGGCACGGGGAGGUAGUGACAAAAAAUAACGAUACGGGACUCAUCUGAGGCCUCGUAAUCGGAAUGAGCACACUUUAAAUCCUUUAACGAGGAUCCAUUGGAGGGCAAGUCUGGUGCCAGCAGCCGCGGUAAUUCCAGCUCCAAUAGCGUAUAUUAAAAUUGAUGCGGUUAAAAAGCUCGUAGGUAAAUUUGUGUCGCACACCGUCGGUUCACCGUUUGCGAUGUCUAACUGGCGUGAUGUGAGACGUCUUACCGGUAGGCUCAGCCUCGAGAGGGGCGGCCCAACUAAUAUCCCGUUGCGGUGCUCUUUGCUGAGUGUCGAGUCGGGCCGGUACGUUUACUUUGAACAAAUUAGAGUGCUUAAAGCAGGCUAGCUUCGCUGAAUACUGUGUGCAUGGAAUAAUGGAAUAGGACCUCAGGUCUAUUUUGGUGGUUUUCGGAACCCGAGGUAAUGAUUAAUAGGGACAGAUGGGGGCAUUCGUAUUGCGACGUUAGAAGUGAAAUUCUUGGAUUGUCGCAAGACGGACAGAAGCNAAAGCAUUUGCCAAAAAUGUUUUCAUUACUCAAGAACGAAAGUUAGAGGUUCGAAGGCGAUCAGAUACCGCCCUAGUUCUAACCAUAAACGAUGCCAGCUAGCGAUCCGCCGAAGUUCCUCCGAUGACUCGGCGGGCAGCUUCCGGGAAACCAAAGCUUUUGGGUUCCGGGGGAAGUAUGGUUGCAAAGCUGAAACUUAAAGGAAUUGACGGAAGGGCACCACCAGGAAUGGAGCCUGCGGCCUAAUUUGACUCAACACGAGAAACCUCACCAGGCCCAGACACCGGAAGGAUUGACAGAUUGAUAGCUCUUUCUUGUUUUGGUGGGUGAUGAUGCAUGGCCGUUUUUAGUUGGUGGAGCGAUUUGUCUGGUUAAUUCCGAUAACGAAUGAGACUCUAGCCUGCUAUAUAGGCGUAUCUUAUGGUAUCGCGAAAGCCCCCGGUUUCGGCCGGCGGGUUUUUACUACCAACGUACAAAUUAAUCUUCUUAGAGGGACAGGCGGCUUCUAGCCGCACGAGAUUGAGCAAUAACAGGUCUAUGAUGCCCUUAGAUGUUCUGAGCCGCACGCGCGCUACACUGAAGGAAUCAGCGUGUGUUCUCUGACCGAAAGGCCCGAGUGCCCCGCUGAACCUUUUUUGUGUUAAGGAUUGGGGCUUGCAAUUGUUCCCCAUGAACGAGGAAUUUCCAGUAAGCGCGAGUUAUAAGCUCGGGUUGAUUACGUCUCUGCCCUUUGUACACACCGCCCGUCGCUACUACCAAUUAAAUGAUUUAGUAAGGUCUUUGGACUGGUGCGCGGCAAUGCUUUGGCAUUGCCGAUGUUGCCGGGAAGAUGACCAAACUUGCUCACUUAGAAGAAGUAAAAGUCGUAACAAGGUUUCCGUAUGUGAACUUGCGGAAG